UACGAAGGGGGCUAGCGUUGCUCGGAAUCACUGGGCGUAAAGGGUGCGUAGGCGGGUCUUUAAGUCAGGGGUGAAAUCCUGGAGCUCAACUCCAGAACUGCCUUUGAUACUGAGGAUCUUGAGUUCGGGAGAGGUGAGUGGAACUGCGAGUGUAGAGGUGAAAUUCGUAGAUAUUGGGAAGAACACCGGUGGCGAAGGCGGCUCACUGGCUCAUUUCUGACGCUCAGGCGCGACAGCGUGGGGAUCAAACAGG
RNAcentral lists this ribosomal RNA (253 nucleotides) under uncultured bacterium. Its description in RNAcentral is "partial 16S ribosomal RNA". It matches the Rfam family "Bacterial small subunit ribosomal RNA", at positions 524 to 776 of the family's 1533-position model. The record is from RNAcentral.